Molecule: ribosomal RNA, 541 nt
Filed under: Candidatus Daviesbacteria bacterium GW2011_GWB1_39_5
Lineage: Bacteria; Candidatus Daviesiibacteriota
Description: bacterial SSU rRNA
Rfam family: Bacterial small subunit ribosomal RNA
Source: RNAcentral
UUUGAGAGUUUGAUCCUGGCUCAGGAUAAACGUUGGCGGCGUGCCUUAGGCAUGCAAAUCAAGGGGCUCCGACGCAAGUCGGAGAACCGGUGGACGGGUGAGUAAUACGCAGGAAUCUGCCUGGAAGUGGGAUAUAGCUCGGCGAAAGCCGGGGUAAUCUCCCAUGUGAACGCAAGUUUAAAGCCGCAAGGCGCUUCUAGAUGAGCCUGCGUCCUAUCAGCUAGUUGGUGGGGUAAUGGCCUACCAAGGCGACGACGGGUAGCUGGACUGAGAGGUCGGUCAGCCACAAUGGGACUGCGACCAAAACGGCCCAUACACCUACGGGUGGCAGCAACCGGGAAUAUUCGACAAUGGACGAAAGUCUGAUCGAGCGACGCCGCGUGGAGGAUGAAGGCCCUCGGGUUGUAAACUCCUUUUAUCUGGGAAGAUUAUGACGGUACCAGAUGAAUAAGCACUUGCUAACUACGUGCCAGAAGCCUCGGUAAUGCGUAGAGUGCAAACGUUAUCCGGAUUUAUUGGGCGUAAAGAGUUGCGUAGGCUG